This 350-nucleotide ribosomal RNA is filed under the name uncultured bacterium. Its description in RNAcentral is "bacterial SSU rRNA". It matches the Rfam family "Bacterial small subunit ribosomal RNA", at positions 355 to 697 of the family's 1533-position model. The record is from RNAcentral.
UGGGGAAUAUUGGACAAUGGGGGCAACCCUGAUCCAGCAAUGCCGCGUGUGUGAAGAAGGCCUUAGGGUUGUAAAGCACUUUCAGUUGGGAGGAAGGGUGAUACGUUAAUAGCGUAUUACAUUGACGUUACCGACAGAAGAAGCACCGGCUAACUCUGUGCCAGCAGCCGCGGUAAUACAGAGGGUGCGAGCGUUAAUCGGAAUUACUGGGCGUAAAGGGUGCGUAGGUUGUUAUAUAAGUUAGAUGUGAAAUCCCUGGGCUUAACCUAGGAACUGCGUUUAAUACUGUAUAACUAGAGUGCUGUAGAGGGUAGUGGAAUUUCCAGUGUAGCGGUGAAAUGCGUAGAUAU